This is a non-coding RNA of Dicentrarchus labrax (European seabass), 964 nucleotides long. Lineage: Eukaryota; Metazoa; Chordata; Actinopteri; Moronidae. The record is from the annotation of a RefSeq genome assembly.
CAACAGUUCCUGUUUUUAAAAGAAUGAACUAUUUCAUGUUCUAUUUAUCAAACAGUGCCACAAUUGUUCAGAAUGAAUCACAUUUUUACAUAUUUAUUGUUCCAUAUGUCUGAAAGUAACAUUGAUCUCUCUAGCAUUAAAUUAAAGCAGACAGAAGACGUUCUGAAAGAAAAUCAUUGUGCAGUCAUCAAGCCCAUUCCACAUUAAAAUGAUCACUGAUACAUUGUUAAUCAAUACUCUGAUAAAGUGAUUGAUCCAUUGAGAAACAGCAUCAUCAGAGUAAUCCAAGUCCCUGUUGGAGUCAGUCAGAGCAUUUCCAUAGAGAGCCACUUUGCAUCAGCAGCACCAUGCUCCAGUGCUCUGGGAGAGUUUAUAGUCCUGAGAGUUGAACACUGGAUGACUGACAGCUGUCCUUCAUGACAACAGAAGACACAGAAAUCCUCCUCAUCAAAAACAUGACUUUGAUCUCCGUCCUCAUCUGGACUCUCCUCUGCUUCACUCAGGGGUCUGUUGGACAGAAUGUUGUUGUGACUCAGCCAGCAGCCAAAUCAGUCCAACCGGGACAAACUGUUUCUAUUGAAUGUAAAGCCAGUACACAAGUUGCUCAGUACUCUGGUGCACAAUACUUCCUGGCCUGGUACCAUCAGAAAACUGGAGAAGCUCCUAAACCUCUGAUCUACAGAACAUCAGACAGACAAUCUGGAAUCUCCUCCAGAUUCAGUGGAAGUGGAGCAGGGAAUGGAAUUGACUUCACUCUGACCAUCAGUGGAGUCCAGGCUGAAGAUACAGGAGUUUACUACUGUAAGAGUUAUCAUUAUAUCAACAGUCAGUUGUUGUUCACACAGUGAAAAAGCGUCGUACAAAAACCUCCCUCAGUCAGACUGAACAGAAACUGAACUGACUGCUGCAGCUGGAAGCUACUGCAGAGACUGAUACAGUUCACUGAAGCAACCCAGACAUGUUA